GACAGAGGGUGCGAGCGUUGUCCGGAAUCACUGGGCGUAAAGGGCGCGUAGGUGGCGGCAUAAGGCCGUGGUGAAAGUCUGGGGCUCAACCCCAGAUCGGCCAUGGCGACUGUGUCGCUUGGGCACCGUAGAGGCAGAUGGAAUUCCGGGUGUAGCGGUGGAAUGCGUAGAGAUCCGGAAGAACACCCGUGGCGAAGGCGGCCAGCUGGGUCGUCCCUGACGCUGAGGCGCGAAGGCGUGGGGAGCGAACGGG
RNAcentral lists this ribosomal RNA (253 nucleotides) under uncultured bacterium. RNAcentral describes it as "partial 16S ribosomal RNA". It matches the Rfam family "Bacterial small subunit ribosomal RNA", at positions 524 to 776 of the family's 1533-position model. The record is from RNAcentral.